CCUGCCCUUGACUCUGGGAUAAGCCUGGGAAACUGGGUCUAAUACCGGAUAUGACCAGUCCUCGCAUGAGGUGCUGGUGGAAAGAUUUUAUCGGUCUUGGAUGGACUCGCGGCCUAUCAGCUAGACGGUGAGGUAACGGCUCACCGUGGCGAUGACGGGUAGCCGGCCUGAGAGGGUGACCGGCCACACUGGGACUGAGACACGGCCCAGACUCCUACGGGAGGCAGCAGUGGGGAAUAUUGCACAAUGGGCGCAAGCCUGAUGCAGCGACGCCGCGUGCGGGAUGACGGCCUUCGGGUUGUAAACCGCUUUCAGCAGGGAAGAAGCUUUUGUGACGGUACCUGCAGAAGAAGCGCCGGCUAACUACGUGCCAGCAGCCGCGGUAAUACGUAGGGCGCGAGCGUUAUCCGGAAUUAUUGGGCGUAAAGAGCUCGUAGGCGGCUUGUCGCGUCUGCUGUGAAAGCCCGGGGCUUAACCCCGGGUGUGCAGUGGGUACGGGCAGGCUAGAGUGCAGUAGGGGAGACUGGAAUUCCUGGUGUAGCGGUGAAAUGCGCAGAUAUCAGGAGGAACACCGAUGGCGAAGGCAGGUCUCUGGGCUGUUACUGACGCUGAGGAGCGAAAGCAUGGGGAGCGAACAGGAUUAGAUACCCUGGUAGUCCAUGCCGUAAACGUUGGGCACUAGGUGUGGGGGACAUUCCACGUUUUCCGCGCCGUAGCUAACGCAUUAAGUGCCCCGCCUGGGGAGUACGGCCGCAAGGCUAAAACUCAAAGGAAUUGACGGGGGCCCGCACAAGCGGCGGAGCAUGCGGAUUAAUUCGAUGCAACGCGAAGAACCUUACCAAGGCUUGACAUGGACCGGAUCGCUGCAGAGAUGUAGUUUCCCUUCGGGGCUGGUUCACAGGUGGUGCAUGGUUGUCGUCAGCUCGUGUCGUGAGAUGUUGGGUUAAGUCCCGCAACGAGCGCAACCCUUGUCCUAUGUUGCCAGCACGUAAUGGUGGGGACUCAUGGGAGACUGCCGGGGUCAACUCGGAGGAAGGUGGGGAUGACGUCAAAUCAUCAUGCCCCUUAUGUCUUGGGCUUCACGCAUGCUACAAUGGCCGGUACAGUGGGUUGCGAUACUGUGAGGUGGAGCUAAUCCCUA
RNAcentral lists this ribosomal RNA (1141 nucleotides) under Nesterenkonia sp. AMHSOQ209. RNAcentral's name for it is "bacterial SSU rRNA". It matches the Rfam family "Bacterial small subunit ribosomal RNA", at positions 125 to 1277 of the family's 1533-position model. Lineage: Bacteria; Bacillati; Actinomycetota; Actinomycetes; Micrococcales; Micrococcaceae. The record is from RNAcentral.